This 301-nucleotide ribosomal RNA is filed under the name uncultured bacterium. Its description in RNAcentral is "partial 16S ribosomal RNA". It matches the Rfam family "Bacterial small subunit ribosomal RNA", at positions 509 to 809 of the family's 1533-position model. The record is from RNAcentral.
CAGCCGCCGCGGUAAUACGAAGGGGGCUAGCGUUGUUCGGAAUUACUGGGCGUAAAGGGCGCGUAGGCGGCCAUUCAAGUUAGAUGUGAAAGCCCUGGGCUCAACCUAGGAAUUGCAUUUGAUACUGUUUGGCUUGAGUUCGGGAGAGGUGAGUGGAAUUCCCAGUGUAGAGGUGAAAUUCGUAGAUAUUGGGAAGAACACCAGUGGCGAAGGCGGCUCACUGGACCGACACUGACGCUGAGGCGCGAAAGCGUGGGGAGCAAACAGGAUUAGAGACCCGCGUAGUCCCUGUCUCUUAUAA